This 363-nucleotide small RNA is filed under the name Arabidopsis thaliana (thale cress). RNAcentral describes it as "ATSL070040". The record is from RNAcentral. Lineage: Eukaryota; Viridiplantae; Streptophyta; Magnoliopsida; Brassicales; Brassicaceae.
AAUAUUUUUAUUUUAUAGUUUACAAUUGUUAUUAAGUAACGUCCUGCCAAACUCGUCCCGCCAAUCCGUCCCGUAAAAAACUCAUUUAUUUUAUUAAUGUUGAUCUUAUUUAUGAUAUGUUUAUGAAUUAUUGUCUAAAUAUUUUGUAAUUUUGUAGUACUUAAAUGCUAUCAAAUAUCUCUCCGGUUUGAUGAUUAUAAUCGAAUUGUUAUAGUCAUGGAAAAAAACAAUAUCAAAAAUGAUAAUUUUGUAGUAAUUAAAUGAUAUUAAAUAUUUUGGAAGUUUUAUUUUAGUAACUAAUCGUGUAGUUAAUGUGGAGAGAUUUAGGGAAGAUUGUUAAGUGUCAAAUAUUUAAUUCGAAAA